GUAGCGGUUCUUGCAUUAGACUUCACAAACCCAGUCAUACCAAGGCUCGGCGGCUUUUCAUAGGUAGUACGGUCUUGAAAACCGUUAGAGUGCAAGCUCACAUGGGUUCGAAUCCCAUCCUCUCCGCCA
RNAcentral lists this transfer RNA (129 nucleotides) under Paenibacillus sp. EKM212P. RNAcentral's name for it is "tRNA-Ser". The record is from RNAcentral. Lineage: Bacteria; Bacillati; Bacillota; Bacilli; Caryophanales; Paenibacillaceae.